Molecule: transfer RNA, 72 nt
Filed under: Aliivibrio sp.
Lineage: Bacteria; Pseudomonadati; Pseudomonadota; Gammaproteobacteria; Vibrionales; Vibrionaceae
Description: tRNA-Asn
Rfam family: tRNA
About the family: Transfer RNA (tRNA) molecules are approximately 80 nucleotides in length. Their secondary structure includes four short double-helical elements and three loops (D, anti-codon, and T loops). Further hydrogen bonds mediate the characteristic L-shaped molecular structure. tRNAs have two regions of fundamental functional importance: the anti-codon, which is responsible for specific mRNA codon recognition, and the 3' end, to which the tRNAs corresponding amino acid is attached (by aminoacyl-tRNA synthetases). tRNAs cope with the degeneracy of the genetic code in two manners: having more than one tRNA (with a specific anti-codon) for a particular amino acid; and 'wobble' base-pairing, i.e. permitting non-standard base-pairing at the 3rd anti-codon position.
Source: RNAcentral
UCUCCAGUAGCUCAGUGGCAGAGCAUGUGGCUGUUAACCAUAUGGUCGCUGGUUCAAAUCCAGCCUGGGGAG